RNAcentral lists this ribosomal RNA (388 nucleotides) under Nostoc sp. BHU007. RNAcentral describes it as "bacterial SSU rRNA". It matches the Rfam family "Bacterial small subunit ribosomal RNA", at positions 847 to 1240 of the family's 1533-position model. Lineage: Bacteria; Bacillati; Cyanobacteriota; Cyanophyceae; Nostocales; Nostocaceae. The record is from RNAcentral.
CGUAGCUAACGCGUUAAGUAUCGCGCCUGGGGAGUACGCACGCAAGUGUGAAACUCAAAGGAACUGACGGGGGCCCGCACAAGCGGUGGAGUAUGUGGUUUAAUUCGAUGCAACGCGAAGAACCUUACCAAGGCUUGACAUGUCGCGAAUCUUCUUGAAAGGGAAGAGUGCCUUCGGGAGCGCGAACACAGGUACUGCAUGGCUGUCGUCAGCUCGUGUCGUGAGAUGUUGGGUUAAGUACCGCAACGAGCGCAACCCUCGUUUUUAGUUGCCAGCAUUAAGUUGGGCACUCUAGAGAGACUGCCGGUGACAAACCGGAGGAAGGUGGGGAUGACGUCAAGUCAGCAUGCCCCUUACGCCUUGGGCUACACACGUAGAGGGCAGCAAG